UUGGAUGGGGUCACUAUCAAUCACUCGCAAGACCAAGGAAGCCAAGGCGCCUUGGGUUGCCAGGGAGAUGAAAAUGCUAAAUUGCUGUUUCAAAGAUCAGGAUAGGGUUAGUGAUUUCUCACCCAAGUUCCUGGGAAAGAGGAUCAUGAGGGAAUUACUUAUUAACAAGGAAAAGGCAAAGAGCAACUUUACAAACUGUUACAGUUUUCCAUCAUCACUUGACUGCUGACAAGAAGCCUCUUUGAAUUCCAAUAUACACGAUCACAUUUUAAAACCUUCAAGACACCAUUUAAUCAGGAGUUGUAAGGCACGUUUGUUAGAGAGAGCUGCACUUUAAAAAUUAUACAGACAUCACCUGAAGUUAUUAAAGUUAUCAAAACAUAUAAAAACCUUCAAGUAAGAGGCUACUCCCCAGGAAACGUGUGGAGCCAGUGAAAGGAAGAAAAACAAUGGAAGGAAGGCUUGAAAAGUUCAUUACAAAACUACAGUGCUUUGAAAAAUAUUUCAAAGAUAUUAAAAUGAAAACUGAUUACAUGAAACAA
Molecule: long non-coding RNA, 542 nt
Organism: Mandrillus leucophaeus (drill)
Lineage: Eukaryota; Metazoa; Chordata; Mammalia; Primates; Cercopithecidae
Exons: 3
Source: RefSeq, a predicted model, not a curated record